Molecule: ribosomal RNA, 477 nt
Filed under: uncultured bacterium
Lineage: Bacteria
Description: bacterial SSU rRNA
Rfam family: Bacterial small subunit ribosomal RNA
Source: RNAcentral
GAUGAACGCUGGCGGCGUGCCUAACACAUGCAAGUCGAACGGAAUUUACAUGAAGCCUAGCGAUUGUAAAUUUAGUGGCGGACGGGUGAGUAACGCGUGAGCAACCUGCCUUUCAGAGGGGGAUAACAUUUGGAAACAGAUGCUAAUACCGCAUAAGAUUACAGUACCGCAUGAUACAGUGAUCAAAGGAGCAAUCCGCUGAAAGAUGGGCUCGCGUCCGAUUAGAUAGUUGGUGAGGUAACGGCCCACCAAGGCAACGAUCGGUAGCCGGACUGAGAGGUUGAACGGCCACAUUGGGACUGAGACACGGCCCAGACUCCUACGGGAGGCAGCAGUGGGGAAUAUUGCACAAUGGGGGAAACCCUGAUGCAGCGACGCCGCGUGGAGGAAGAAGGUCUUCGGAUUGUAAACUCCUGUUGUUGAGGAAGAUAAUGACGGUACUCAACAAGGAAGUGACGGCUAACUACGUGCCAGCAG